AUCGACCUCGGAUCAGGUAGGAAUACCCGCUGAACUUAAGCAUAUC
Molecule: ribosomal RNA, 46 nt
Filed under: Rubikia evansii
Lineage: Eukaryota; Fungi; Ascomycota; Lecanoromycetes; Ostropales; Graphidaceae
Description: partial 28S ribosomal RNA
Source: RNAcentral